RNAcentral lists this ribosomal RNA (511 nucleotides) under uncultured Burkholderia sp. RNAcentral's name for it is "bacterial SSU rRNA". It matches the Rfam family "Bacterial small subunit ribosomal RNA", at positions 149 to 653 of the family's 1533-position model. Lineage: Bacteria; Pseudomonadati; Pseudomonadota; Betaproteobacteria; Burkholderiales; Burkholderiaceae. The record is from RNAcentral.
CUGCGAAAGCCGGAUUAAUACCGCAUACGCUCUAUGGAGGAAAGCGGGGGACUCGCAAGGGCCUCGCGCUCAAGGGGCGGCCGAUGGCGGAUUAGCUAGUUGGUGGGGUAAAGGCCUACCAAGGCGACGAUCCGUAGCUGGUCUGAGAGGACGACCAGCCACACUGGGACUGAGACACGGCCCAGACUCCUACGGGAGGCAGCAGUGGGGAAUUUUGGACAAUGGGGGCAACCCUGAUCCAGCAAUGCCGCGUGUGUGAAGAAGGCCUUCGGGUUGUAAAGCACUUUUGUCCGGAAAGAAAACCUGCCUGUUAAUACCGGGUGGGGCUGACGGUACCGGAAGAAUAAGCACCGGCUAACUACGUGCCAGCAGCCGCGGUAAUACGUAGGGUGCGAGCGUUAAUCGGAAUUACUGGGCGUAAAGCGUGCGCAGGCGGUUUGCUAAGACCGAUGUGAAAUCCCCGGGCUUAACCUGGGAACUGCAUUGGUGACUGGCAAGCUAGAGUAUGGCA